AGCAGUAGGGAAGUCUUCCACAAUGGACGGCAAGUCUGAUGGAGCAACGCCGCGUGAGUGAAGAAGGUCUUCGGAUCGUAAAACUCUGUUGUUAGAGAAGAACACGAGUGAGAGUAACUGUUCAUUCGAUGACGGUAUCUAACCAGCAAGUCACGGCUAACUACGUGCCAG
This 171-nucleotide ribosomal RNA is filed under the name uncultured bacterium. RNAcentral describes it as "partial 16S rRNA". It matches the Rfam family "Bacterial small subunit ribosomal RNA", at positions 350 to 511 of the family's 1533-position model. The record is from RNAcentral.